RNAcentral lists this non-coding RNA (226 nucleotides) under Jeotgalibacillus malaysiensis. RNAcentral's name for it is "T-box sequence". It matches the Rfam family "T-box leader". From Rfam's summary of the family: Uncharged tRNA acts as the effector for transcription antitermination of genes in the T-box leader family. T-boxes are found upstream of many aminoacyl-tRNA synthetase genes and some amino acid biosynthetic genes usually in Gram-positive bacteria. The anticodon of a specific tRNA base pairs to a specifier sequence within the T-box motif, and the NCCA acceptor tail of the tRNA base pairs to a conserved bulge in the T-box antiterminator hairpin. The record is from RNAcentral. Lineage: Bacteria; Bacillati; Bacillota; Bacilli; Caryophanales; Caryophanaceae.
UAUGAUGCUCUGAUCAGGAGUAGUAUGCAGAUUUUCGUUCUUCAGAGAAGAAAUUCAUUUGGUGAGAGAAUUUCCAGAAUUGACCCUGCAGAAGUCGCCUGUAAGCAGUACCGGUGAACAUUACAGUAGUCGGUGCCGGUUAGAAGCCGUUAUCUUAAUUGAGUGCACAGAUCAAUCAGUCUGUGUAAAAAGGUGGUACCGCGAAUCAAAUCCCUUCGUCCUUUUA